RNA transcript from Brassica rapa (field mustard), 970 nucleotides. It is a transcript of the gene named putative peptidyl-tRNA hydrolase PTRHD1, with no coding region annotated. Lineage: Eukaryota; Viridiplantae; Streptophyta; Magnoliopsida; Brassicales; Brassicaceae. The record is from RefSeq and is a predicted model, not a curated record.
AGUGUUAUCCAAGAAAGAGUAAAGCCCAUGCGCGUCCUCCUUUCAUAUGGCGAGCGCCGUCGUCUCGGCUGCGUUUCGAAUCCCGUUCCCCACCAGCCGACUCUUCAAUCCUGCGCCGUGGAUUAGCUCGCAUCGUUCAACGAUCCGGUUUGGCCAUCCCCGUCGGAUCACAACAGAUUCGUCCAUGAGCCAACAGAGCGGCGAAAUGGGUGCCGUCGUCGAUGCCUCCAGUAACGACGAGAACUCGUCAGAGAAACCUGACGAUGUCGUGGUACAGUACGUGGUGCUUCGUCGUGAUCUGAUCGAUUCGUGGCCACUCGGGAGCGUGGUGACGCAGGGAUGCCACGCGUCUGUGGCGGCGAUUUGAUUGUGAACCGCAGCACAUUGAUUCUAUGCACAAGGUGACUUUGGAGGUUAAAGGGGAAACUCAGAUGAUGAAUUUGUUAUAGCAACAAAGCCUUAUCCCAAAUCUCAAGUCUCUACUUUCUUCAAGAAGCUCAAGCUUUGCAAGUGAUCAUUCUCGUUUUUUUCAUUUCUAUAAGCUGAUUUAUUCAUCAUGAUUCACACAAAUGGAUACAAAUCACAAAGAGAAUUUUUAAUUUACAAACGUUUAAAAAGACAACAACACGUAACUACGUAAGGUAAGUCAGCAAUUUGGAGAUAUUAUUACAUAGAGAAGUUACAAAAGAGAGAGAGAGAGAGAGAUCUCGGUGAGAGUUUUUAGUUCAGGAAUGGGCGAUGAGGCGUUUACCGCAGGUGGAGCAAAUAAGGCGACGUUUGGAUUUGUUAUAGAGAGGGACGAAGCAGAAUCUCCACUGGCUUUCUACGUCUACCGUUUGAACCAUCCCGCCGCAGUAGGGGCAGGCUCCAGGAGCUGCGUACCUGCCGAUCACCCUCUCGUCCUGAUCGCACACGAACACCAAACACAUGUUUCCUCUUCUUCCUCUUGCUCUUUCUUAUUUUUGUCAAA